CGUUCCCGGGUCUUGUACACACCGCCCGUCACACCACGAGAGUUUGUAACACCCGAAGUCGGUGGGGUAACCUUUUGGAGCCAGCCGUCUAAGGUGGGACAGAUGAUUGGGGUG
RNAcentral lists this ribosomal RNA (114 nucleotides) under uncultured bacterium. RNAcentral's name for it is "partial 16S ribosomal RNA". It matches the Rfam family "Bacterial small subunit ribosomal RNA", at positions 1369 to 1482 of the family's 1533-position model. The record is from RNAcentral.